GCCUGCCUGGUUCAAUGGCAGAACCCCGUCGCGCCACGGCGGAGAUAUCGGUUCGAAUCCGAUGGUGGGCU
RNAcentral lists this transfer RNA (71 nucleotides) under Candidatus Obscuribacterales bacterium. Its description in RNAcentral is "tRNA-Gly". It matches the Rfam family "tRNA". From Rfam's summary of the family: Transfer RNA (tRNA) molecules are approximately 80 nucleotides in length. Their secondary structure includes four short double-helical elements and three loops (D, anti-codon, and T loops). Lineage: Bacteria; Bacillati; Candidatus Melainabacteria; Candidatus Obscuribacterales. The record is from RNAcentral.